UUAUAUGCCUUUAAAUAAUUUUAGAGCAUCAGAGCAUGUCACGUGUUUCGGUAGCCUAGGUGACUAAUAGGUUAAUCAGGCUAGCAGGAGCGAAGAGAAGACACGUUGCUGUGCGAUUUAUGGAAAAAAGGAGGCUUAAUCCUGCACAAUUUAUUUAAUAGAACCCUUUGGGAAAGCGGAGCGAGUUUCACGGUGCUACGCAACGAAAGUUUAAUGGCUCUCGUCUUGAGCAAAAUAAAGAAUCAAGCACCCGUCAGAAACUCUCUGUCUCGUUCAUGGAAACCAAAGGGCAUCUACACUGCUUAAUAACUCCUGGUCAAAGAGCAGUAGACGUAUUUGUAAAUGUAUUUUUAUUUAAUCUUUACAGUUUCGUUGAUGACAUGAACAGGAUGUACUGCAUAGAUCUGACAGCUCCGUGGCUCAGUGAAAGAAUAAAACGUCUAGAAGAGGAUGGAGUACAGUGUAUAAAUAAACCUAAUAAUGCACACACUGGGACUGGACAUCUGUGAACAUCAACCAGAACGUGAUCUUCACUAUGCAGGAACUACAGAAGAAAGAGAUUUUCAUACAGUCAUGUUAUACUGUACUGCAAAAUUCUACUUUAAACUGUAAAUGCAUGAUUCUAUGCAGGAAAAAAAUAUGUUGAAUCUAUUGCACAAAGAAAAUAAUUUGCCAUUUUCUUUUCUUUUUUCUUUGCUCUCUGCCAUGUAGUCUAACUGUGGUUAUCACUUUGUCUUGUCUUGUAUUUUUUCUUUUUCUUAUAUUAUUUUAAUGCAUU
This is a non-coding RNA of Danio rerio (zebrafish), 778 nucleotides long. The record is from RefSeq and is a predicted model, not a curated record. NCBI's taxonomy places the organism in Eukaryota, Metazoa, Chordata, Actinopteri, Cypriniformes, Danionidae.